CCUACGGGUGGCAGCAGUAGGGAAUAUUGCUCAAUGGGGGAAACCCUGAAGCAGCAACGCCGCGUGGAGGAUGAAGGUUUUCGGAUUGUAAACCCCUUUUGUUAGAGAAGAUAAUGACGGUAUCUAACGAAUAAGCACCGGCUAACUCCGUGCCAGCAGCCGCGGUAAUACGGAGGGUGCAAGCGUUACUCGGAAUCACUGGGCGUAAAGAGCGCGUAGGCGGGAUAGCAAGUCAGAUGUGAAAUCCUAUGGCUUAACCAUAGAACUGCAUUUGAAACUGUUAUUCUAGAGUAUGGGAGAGGUAGGUGGAAUUCUUGGUGUAGGGGUAAAAUGCGUAGAGAUCAAGAAGAAUACUCAUUGCGAAGGCGACCUGCUAGAACAUAACUGACGCUGAUGCGCGAAAGCGUGGGGAGCAAACAGGAUUAGAUACCCUAGUAGUC
This 440-nucleotide ribosomal RNA is filed under the name uncultured bacterium. RNAcentral describes it as "partial 16S ribosomal RNA". It matches the Rfam family "Bacterial small subunit ribosomal RNA", at positions 338 to 795 of the family's 1533-position model. The record is from RNAcentral.